Molecule: ribosomal RNA, 497 nt
Filed under: uncultured bacterium
Lineage: Bacteria
Description: partial 16S ribosomal RNA
Rfam family: Bacterial small subunit ribosomal RNA
Source: RNAcentral
GAUGAACGCUGGCGGCGUGCCUAAUACAUGCAAGUCGAGCGAACAGACGAGGAGCUUGCUCCUCUGACGUUAGCGGCGGACGGGUGAGUAACACGUUGAUAACCUUCCUAUAAGACUGGGAUAACUUCGGGAAACCGGAGCUAAUACCGGACAAUAUCUUGCACCGCAUGGUUCAAUAGUGAAAGACGGUUUUGCUGUCUCUUAUAGAUGGAUCCGCGCCGCAUUAGCUAGUUGGUAAGGUAACGGCUUACCAAGGCAACGAUGCGUAGCCGACCUGAGAGGGUGAUCGGCCACACGGGAGCGGAGACGCGGUGCAGAAUCCUACGUGAGGCAGCAGUAGGGAAUCUUCCGCAAUGGGCGGAAGCCUGACGGAGAAACGCCGCGUGAGUGAUGAAGGUCUUCGGAUCGUAAAACUCUGUUAUUAGGGAAGAACAAAUGUGUAAGAAAAUAUGCACGUCUUGACGGUACCUAAUCAGAAAGCCACGGCUAACUACGUG